This 517-nucleotide ribosomal RNA is filed under the name uncultured bacterium. RNAcentral's name for it is "bacterial SSU rRNA". It matches the Rfam family "Bacterial small subunit ribosomal RNA", at positions 501 to 1017 of the family's 1533-position model. The record is from RNAcentral.
CUACGUGCCAGCAGCCGCGGUAAUACGUAGGUGGCGAGCGUUGUCCGGAAUUAUUGGGCGUAAAGGGAGCGCAGGUGGGUAUAUAAGUCCAUCUUAAAAGUGCGGGGCUCAACCCCGUGAGGGGAUGGAAACUGUAGAUCUUGAGUGCAGGAGAGGAAAGCGGAAUUCCCAGUGUAGCGGUGAAAUGCGUAGAUAUUGGGAGGAACACCAGUGGCGAAGGCGGCUUUCUGGACUGUAACUGACACUGAGGCUCGAAAGCCAGGGUAGCGAACGGGAUUAGAUACCCCGGUAGUCCUGGCCGUAAACGAUGAAUGCUAGGUGUAGGAGGUAUCGACCCCUCCUGUGCCGGAGUUAACGCAAUAAGCAUUCCGCCUGGGGAGUACGGUCGCAAGACUGAAACUCAAAGGAAUUGACGGGGGCCCGCACAAGCGGUGGAGUAUGUGGUUUAAUUCGACGCAACGCGAAGAACCUUACCAGGGCUUGACAUUAAGUGAAAGAGCUAGAGAUAGCUUAUUUC